This is a non-coding RNA of Ornithorhynchus anatinus (platypus), 138 nucleotides long. The record is from Rfam. NCBI's taxonomy places the organism in Eukaryota, Metazoa, Chordata, Mammalia, Monotremata, Ornithorhynchidae.
CCCCUCUCUGGGCCAUACCUGAAGAGUUUCCAGUAUUCUACCAGUUUCGAAUAUGGGAGGGAGAGUCAAGCAGAGGCAUACCCAUUUCAUUCCUAGCUUGGGCAGUAGCUAGAGAGUGGCAGUAAAUCUGUUACAAGU